AGUGAACGCUGGCGGUAGGCCUAACACAUGCAAGUCGAACGGCAGCACAGUAAGAGCUUGCUCUUACGGGUGGCGAGUGGCGGACGGGUGAGGAAUACAUCGGAAUCUACUUUUUCGUGGGGGAUGACGUAGGGAAACUUACGCUAAUACCGCAUACGACCUACGGGUGAAAGCAGGGGAUCUUCGGACCUUGCGCGAUUGAAUGAGCCGAUGUCGGAUUAGCUAGUUGGCGGGGUAAAGGCCCACCAAGGCGACGAUCCGUAGCUGGUCUGAGAGGAUGAUCAGCCACACUGGAACUGAGACACGGUCCAGACUCCUACGGGAGGCAGCAGUGGGGAAUAUUGGACAAUGGGCGCAAGCCUGAUCCAGCCAUACCGCGUGGGUGAAGAAGGCCUUCGGGUUGUAAAGCCCUUUUGUUGGGAAAGAAAAGCAGCAGGUUAAUACCCCGCUGUUCUGACGGUACCCAAAGAAUAAGCACCGGCUAACUUCGAG
Molecule: ribosomal RNA, 492 nt
Filed under: uncultured bacterium
Lineage: Bacteria
Description: partial 16S ribosomal RNA
Rfam family: Bacterial small subunit ribosomal RNA
Source: RNAcentral